GCAGUUGUGGCCUAAUGGUUAGCGAGUUGGACUUGCAACCCUGAAGGUUGUGGGUUCGAGUCCCAGGCCGGCAGGG
Molecule: non-coding RNA, 76 nt
Organism: Pangasius djambal
Lineage: Eukaryota; Metazoa; Chordata; Actinopteri; Siluriformes; Pangasiidae
Source: the annotation of a GenBank genome assembly